UGAAAUACAUUGAUGGAACGAACACUUGUGAAACCUACAGAGAGUCGAUGGUUGGUGGAAAUCGACGGUGAAGACAAGCUGGUUCAGCAGUCCUGAGUUAUUGCACUGAAUUUCUAGUAGGUGCGAUCGGCCGAAUCCGUUAUCGUUCUUGGUCUUUAGACCGAUUGAGGUUGCUUGUCAUGCAGCAACGAAUUAGGGUGGCACCACGAAUUAAACUCUCGUCCCUUAC
Molecule: non-coding RNA, 229 nt
Filed under: Paenibacillus selenitireducens
Lineage: Bacteria; Bacillati; Bacillota; Bacilli; Caryophanales; Paenibacillaceae
Description: T-box sequence
Rfam family: T-box leader
About the family: Uncharged tRNA acts as the effector for transcription antitermination of genes in the T-box leader family.
Source: RNAcentral